Molecule: long non-coding RNA, 2054 nt
Organism: Numida meleagris (helmeted guineafowl)
Lineage: Eukaryota; Metazoa; Chordata; Aves; Galliformes; Numididae
Source: Ensembl
GCAUGGGAUAAUCAGAGCCAAUACCAGUUCACUGUUGACCUCUGCUUGCUUUAUUUGUUGUAAAAUAAGCUGUUUCUUCAUCUGCUCAGCUUCAGAGCUUGGAUAGAAAGGCUCCAAGAUUCCCCAUCCUUCAAGCCUGCGUAAUGGUCCACAGCCUGCAUUGAAUCCAUGGGGCCUGACUAGCAAGGAACUGAGAACUCAGCUCCUCCAGAAGCCUUCUCAUAUUUCUGCUGCUCUUGCACCAGAAACCAGUCUUAUGAGAAAGGAAAAAAACCUCAACAAUGCAGAGCAUCCAAAUCUCCUUUAAAGAAAAGUCACCCUCUCAAAGCUGGGGAAAUCAAGAAAAAAUCUAAGACCUUUCUGUUUGGAGUAUGCUGCUAAAGCCAGAAUCAUGAAACAGAACUGUGAUGGCAGCACUACAGAGCACGCUGUACUGGGAAGAGCUUGAGGCAAGACAGCGGGUGAGAUGGAUCAUUGAACUGAUCAGAUAUGGCAAUUCCUGUGUUUUCUGUGUGCUCAAGGACGACAUAAUUUUAACCAAGCAUAAACAUUUUACAGCUGGCUGCUACAAAUCUGUUUUAUUUGUUUAGGAGUUAGGGAAGAAGGUAUGUUUCUCAAAGGUUGUGGGGAUAGUCUAUAGUAUGGACACAUAAAGUGUUGAUGGAUUUGUAUUUAGCUGAGAGCUUGUAGCAGGCAUUUCAUUGAGGAACAGAGCUCAGAGCAUGAUAAUACUUUGUAAGAAUGAAUAUGUGUUGCCUCUGGUUUUCACAGGAGUUGCCAUGAUUAAACACAUCACUGUCCUGUAGAGCUCAUUUCAAAUAUGUGACUGGAGUCUGUUAGGUACCUUAUUUCACCUGGCAUUCAACAUUUUUAGGCACUUUGUUCCUUACUAGGUGCCGCAAUUUCAUUUAUCUUUGAGUUGUAAGUUCUUCUGAAUAACAAAGAGAAAUACUUUCUUCCAGUAAUUCUACUGAUUAAAUGUUGUUUCCUCAAAUAUUUCCCAGAUUUUAGAAGAGCUAGUAGCCACUGUUUCAGUAAGAAGAAAUAUUUUAUUUUCAUGUCUGCAAGCUCUGUGAGCCUCAGUGAUCUAAUCCUAGUAAAACAUGCAUAAUGAAGCACAUAGAUGGUUUGAUUGUUUUCCUUUAAUACUUUUUUUGAUCGCUGUUACAAAACUCAUUGCUUUAGCUGUGAUCUCUUUUCCCCAGCAAGAUGCUAGCUAUAAAAUGAGAAGGUAGAAACAAGAGCCUGUUGAUGGAUUAAACUAUAAAUGCAAGUGAUAGCAACACUUUUAACAAAAAGCCUGUUAACUACCCUUUAAAUUUAAUCUUGGCACUUUGUAGAGUCAGAAAUUCAGAGAGAGAAGUAUUCAACAGCCAGAGGGGAUGUAGAAACAAACUAGCUGUGACAGAGACCUGAUGCAGAUAGGUGUGACCUGGAGGUGAGGAGCCUGCUGGCACGAAGGCUGGCCAAGCCCUGGAGAGGACAGCCUCCGUCCACCAGCUUGCAAAAGGGGUUACGUGCCAAGGGCCUCUCCCACAGCUUCUGCUGAAGAACUCUUAACAGUGAUGGCAAAAGCAGACUUUUUAGAUUCACGUGGAUUCGCAUUCGUUACAUAAUGCACCCAUGCUUUAUGUUUUCUCAAGGAUUAUGAAAGAAAAGCAUUUGACUUCCUCGGGUUUCCAGUGAUGUUCACAUCCCUCUGGGCUGUUUGAAAUGCUUGAUUGAGAUCAUAUGGUGUGCUUACAGAUGUGGUAUGUUUAUUCAGUAGCGUGUAUGUAUUUAAAGUCAACUUGUGUGCAUUCCAGUUUGUAUAAAUACAUGUAAAGAUAUCUAGAAAUAUAUAAAUGUAUUUAUAUAAAACUAGAUCACUCUGUAUCUCCCAAGGACAAAUGUCUCAUUUUGACACGUUAUGCUAGGUACUUCUGUUGUGACAUGGUGUUAGCCUUCAUGUCACUGUUGCUUAUCAUCUUUUGCACUCAGUCCACCUUCCAGCUAAACUGGAAGGAAGUAUUGAGUUUGAGGUACAAUAAAUGCUAGACAUUUGUGGGAUGACA